RNAcentral lists this unclassified non-coding RNA (305 nucleotides) under plant metagenome. Its description in RNAcentral is "partial contains 5.8S ribosomal RNA, internal transcribed spacer 2, and large subunit ribosomal RNA". The stretch from base 1 to 105 matches the Rfam family "5.8S ribosomal RNA", at positions 50 to 154 of the family's 154-position model. The record is from RNAcentral.
GAAAUGCGAUAAGUAGUGUGAAUUGCAGAAUUCAGUGAAUCAUCGAAUCUUUGAACGCACAUUGCGCCCCUUGGUAUUCCAUGGGGCAUGCCUGUUCGAGCGUCAUCUACACCCUCAAGCUCUGCUUGGUGUUGGGCGUCUGUCCCGCCCCCGCGCGUGGACUCGCCCCAAAUCCAUUGGCAGCGUUCCUUGCCCCCUCUCGCGCAGCACAUUGCGCUUCUCGAGGGCGGCUCCGGGACGCGAUCCAGCAAGAUGACCACCGUCUUUGACCUCGGAUCAGGUAGGGAUACCCGCUGAACUCAAGC